AUACAUGGAUAGACAUGAGACUUCCUUCCAAGUGAGCUUGUUUUAAGUCACUAAGCUUGACUCUUACAAAGCUUAGUCAAAAAAAGGUUGAAGAGAGGAACAGAGAAGUCCUCAUCUUUAGUUGUUGAACUUUCAAUGCUUGAAUCAUACUCUGCAUCCUCUCUUGACAUAUGGUAGGAUGAAUACUCAUUUGAUAUUUC
This 200-nucleotide small RNA is filed under the name Arabidopsis thaliana (thale cress). Its description in RNAcentral is "ATSL266650". The record is from RNAcentral. Lineage: Eukaryota; Viridiplantae; Streptophyta; Magnoliopsida; Brassicales; Brassicaceae.